GUAACGGCGAGUGAAGCGGCAAAAGCUCAAAUUUGAAAUCUGGCUCUUUCAGGGUCCGAGUUGUAAUUUGUAGAAGAUGCUUCGGGUGUGGUUCCGGUCUAAGUUCCUUGGAACAGGACGUCAUAGAGGGUGAGAAUCCCGUAUGUGACCGGAUACCUAUGCUCAUGUGAAGCUCUUUCGACGAGUCGAGUUGUUUGGGAAUGCAGCUCAAAAUGGGUGGUAUAUUUCAUCUAAAGCUAAAUAUUGGCCAGAGACCGAUAGCGCACAAGUAGAGUGAUCGAAAGAUGAAAAGCACUUUGGAAAGAGAGUUAAACAGUACGUGAAAUUGUUGAAAGGGAAGCGCUUGCAAUCAGACUUGCACCUGGUGUUCAGCGGGGAUUCGUUCCCCGUGUACUUCAUCAGGUUCAGGCCAGCAUCGGUUUGAGUGGUUGGAUAAAGGCCUUGAGAAUGUGGCCCUCUUCGGGGGGUGUUAUAGCUCUCGGUGCAAUGCAGCCUACUUGGACCGAGGACCGCGCUUCGGCUAGGAUGCUGGCGUAAUGGUUG
RNAcentral lists this ribosomal RNA (543 nucleotides) under Ciboria americana. RNAcentral's name for it is "eukaryotic LSU rRNA". It matches the Rfam family "Eukaryotic large subunit ribosomal RNA", at positions 83 to 640 of the family's 3401-position model. The record is from RNAcentral. Lineage: Eukaryota; Fungi; Ascomycota; Leotiomycetes; Helotiales; Sclerotiniaceae.